AAUCCCUAAAAGACCGUCCCACGUUCGGAUUGCAGGCUGCAACCCGCCUGCAUGAAGUUGGAAUCGCUAGUAAUCGCGGAUCAGCAUGCCGCGGUGAAUACGUUCCCGGGCCUUGUACACACCGCCCGUCACACCAUGAGAGUCGGGGACACCCGAAGUCCGUAGUCUAACCGCAAGGGGGACGCGGCCGAAGGUGGAUUCGAUAAUUGGGGUGAAGUCGUAACAAGGUACC
This 232-nucleotide ribosomal RNA is filed under the name uncultured bacterium. RNAcentral's name for it is "partial 16S ribosomal RNA". It matches the Rfam family "Bacterial small subunit ribosomal RNA", at positions 1270 to 1500 of the family's 1533-position model. The record is from RNAcentral.